GUGUCAGCCGCCGCGGUAAUACGUAGGUGGCAAGCGUUGUCCGGAUUUAUUGGGCGUAAAGCGAACGCAGGCGGGAGAAUAAGUCAGCUGUGAAAGCCCUCAGCUUAACUGAGGAAGAGCAUCGGAAACUGAAAGACUUGAGUGCAGAAGAGGAGAGUGGAACUCCAUGUGUAGCGGUGAAAUGCGUAGAUAUAUGGAAGAACACCAGUGGCGAAGGCGGCUCUCUGGUCUGUUACUGACGCUGAGGCUCGAAAGCAUGGGUAGCGAACAGGAUUAGAUACCCUGGUAGUCCAUGCCGUAAACGAUGAGUGCUAAGUGUUGGGAGGUUUCCGCCUCUCAGUGCUGCAGCUAACGCAUUAAGCACUCCGCCUGGGGAGUACGACCGCAAGGUUGAAACUCAAAUAAAUUGGCGG
Molecule: ribosomal RNA, 413 nt
Filed under: uncultured bacterium
Lineage: Bacteria
Description: bacterial SSU rRNA
Rfam family: Bacterial small subunit ribosomal RNA
Source: RNAcentral